This 4407-nucleotide long non-coding RNA is filed under the name Canis lupus familiaris (dog). RNAcentral describes it as "lncRNA (ENSCAFG00000058790.1, ENSCAFG00845000003.1)". Lineage: Eukaryota; Metazoa; Chordata; Mammalia; Carnivora; Canidae. The record is from RNAcentral.
UGGUUUAAAUGAAUCAAGGUCUACCCUUUGAAAAACACUGGUUGGUAGAUUCGUUUUCUUGCUAUUACAGAUUACCCCAAAACUUCAUGGCUUAAAAUAAUAAACAUUUGCUUAUCUCAUACAGUUUCUGUGGGCCAGGAAUCUGGACUAGGAUAGCGUGGUGGUUCUGGGUUAGGGUCUUUCAUGAGGUUACAGUCAGAAUGUUGACUGGGCUGGAGGAUUUGCUUCCAAGGUGGCUGGAAGCAGGUUAAUCUCUGGCAGGUUAAUGCUGGCAUUGGCAGGUCUUAGUUCUCAGACUGCUUGAGUGUCCUCACAACAUGGUAGUUUGUCUCCCUCAGUACAAGCUAGAGCAAGGAGGAAGCCACACCACUGCCACAUGCUGUUAGUUGAAAGAAAGUCACUUAAGUCCAGCCUACAGUGGAAUUAAGUUCCAUAUCUUGAAGGGUGGAGUAUCAAAGAAUUUAUGACAUAUUUUAAUAACUACCACAGUUCUGUGUUUUUCCUGUUUAUGGGUGAAUUAGGAUUGAACCAGAAGCCUUGUUGAAGUCAAUCUGUAAGUAAUUAUCUUAGUUAAUUAAGUCAGUUUUUUUCUCUGAGGGCUUUUAGUCUCACGCCCUCAAUCUUAAAUUUGAGAAGGGAGGCUCAAAGAAGUUAAGUAAUUAGCCAGCGCAUGGCCAUUCAGUGUAGGAACAUUAAACAGAUUUUUCUGUCUUUUUUUUUUUUUUGUCAUGAAUGAUGUGUGUGCUGAUUAAGAUGAGAAAACUUGUUAGUGAUUUUUAAAUAUAUAAAGAAGUUAUAGUAUAGAACUGUUGUUUCCUAGUCUCGUGGUUUGCACACUUCUACAUGAUAGUAAUACUUUCAAUUUAUUCGGCCUACAGAUAAUACCUGAUGUCUGUGAAUUUGCAGACUCCUCAUAGCAGUACCGCCUUCCCGUUGAUUUUUAGAGGAAACAAAAUAUACUUAUGAAUUUAAAGGAUUUAAAUGAAUGAAUUUAUUUUUAAAAAAUAUUUUGCUUAUUUAUUCAUGAGAGACACAGAGAGAGAAAGAGGCAGAGGGAGAAAGAAGCAGGCUCCAUGCAGGGAGCCUGAUGUGGGACUUGAUCCCGGGACUCCAGGAUCAUGCCCUGGGCUGAAGGCGGCGUUAAACCGCUGAGCCACCUGGGCUGCUCUGAAGGACUUUACUUACUGUUAGCUCCAGAUGCUGCAUAUAUACCAACCUGGAGACUGUACUCUGUAACUAUUCCAGAUAGCACAUUUCUAGGACCUAAAAGAAGGUAUUAUAACAAAGAUAAUCAGGGUUUGAGUAUGAAAGAAAUGGAUACCACCCUCUGCUGUGAGACAGUCAUGGAAACUUUGGAUCUAGUAAGAUUUGUUCUAAGACCGGUUUUUUCUUUGUGGUAUAAAGGAGUAGGAUGGGACCCUGAUAUACAUGGAUAAUGUGAGUAGAGCCAGAAUAAAUUUUGAAGGCCUUCCUUAACUUUUUUCUUUUAAAUCCAGUAGACUUUCCUGAGUAAUAGGUUGGGGAUACAGUAAAUUUUCUUACACCUCUGCUGUUGCAGAAUUGACAAUAGCUGCUUUGUUCUUAAACUGCUUUCCAGUUUCUCUUACCAUCAGGACACCUGACAGUUGCUGUUCAGCCAUGAAGCACAUGCUUAUGUGCAUUAUACUUACGUGAUUGCUCUUGUUUACCUGUGUCUUGUAACUCCCAUCCCCACUGUAAAUUUUUUACAGGGACUUCUCUUUCCUAUAUAUUGCUGGUACUCAAAUGCUUGCAGAAUUGAAUUUGUAGUUGAAGGACCUAACAAGAUAAUUUUUCCCACUAGAACUGAAUGAGAAAAUGUUUAUUGUACAAAGCCUUUGGAUACAGGUGGGAGGUGCUGGUGAUAUAUAUGUUAAUAUCUGUCCUUAAGAUAUUCACAGUCCAGUGGCGGAAAACACAGUCAUAUGCUUUAUAUACAGUUCUUUAUAUACACAUAUUUGAAGUGUAGUGGUAGUAUAAAUGAAGUUGGUAUUUAAACUGAAUCUUGAAGGGUGAGUAGAUGUUUGAAAAAUAGACUUAGUUUUGUGACCUGUUUGGUUGUGCAUUUCCUUCUUUCCUUUCUUAAGAUUUUAUUUAUUUGAGAGAGCGAGAGCAAGCGCGGGGAGGAACAGAGGGUUAGGGACAAGCUGACUCCACGAUGAGCUCAGAGCCCGAGGAUCCUGAGAUCAUGACCUGAGCUGAAAUCGAGUUGGACGCUUAACUAAGCCACCCAUGUGCCCCAAGUGGUUGUGCAUUUCUCACCUUUACUCCUUUAUUAUACAUCUACCUUUGUUUUAUUGUUGAGUUGCCAUAUUUUGAUAAGUUGCUUUUUUCUCUCUCAUGCAUGUUCUUUUUAAGUUACUUCUCUAGAAGUGUGCUGUCCAAUGCAGUUUAGCUACUAGCCACACAUGCCUUUGCAAAUUAAUGUCACACUAGCCACAUGUGGAUAUAGGCUACCUAUUGGACAACACAGAUACAGAACAUUUCAAUUGUUGCAGAAAGUUCUCUUGGACUGUGCUGCUGUAGAAUCAUGUUUUGCUCAUCUGCAUAUUUUCACUUUAUUAUAAUGUAUUGAGUUAGGAAUAGAAUGAAUAAAUUUAAUAGCUUUCUGACAUCAAUGGAGGAGACAGAGUGGUUGGUAUUUAUGACUAGAGGGGAGAGAGUAUAGGAUAUUUACAUUGAUGAAGAAUAUAGGCUUUGCAGUCAAAUCUAGGUUGGAAUCCUGCUCUGUAACCUUAAGUAGUUUGGCUUUUGGGCAUGUUCACUUCUGAGCCUCAGUGUUUUGUUUUUGUUUUUGUUUUUACUCAAAUAGGGAUAAUAUUUACCUCUCAGGUUUGUGUGCCUAUAAAAUAAGAAUGUAUGUAAGGGGGCUUAGCACAGUACCUCAGUACAUGAUAAGGUCAUUAAGGUAUUUUUGAAGUAAUCACUGAUUAAAGAAAUUUUUAAAAUUAUACAGUGAAAUUUUUUUCUUUUGGUGUAUAGUUCUAUGAAGUAACAUAGAUAAAUAUUUGUGUAACUACCAUCAGUUAGAAUACAUAUCACUUCUACCACUUUCAAAAAACUCGCCCAUGCUGUCUUUUUGUAUACUUAACCUCCUCCCACUUGAUAUCCCCGACAGCCACUGAUUUGUUCUCCAUCAUCAUUUUUGUCUCUUUUAGCAUGUUUUAUAAAUGGAGUUGUGUAAUAUGUAGCCUUGGCUUCUUUCCUCAGCCAAAUUGGGUGAAGGACUCCAAAUUGUAACAUAAAUCUCAGUAGUCACAACUGAUUUUUAAGACAUUUAUUUUAAUUUAGAAAUCUUUCUUAGAAAUCUGCAUCUGAAUUUUUGUUCAUAGAAUUGUGUUUGACUUGGGAUUUUUAUGUUUGAAAGUGAAAUCAGUGACGAAAUUUACAGGGAAACACUACUUCCCCUGGUAACUGUGUCUGUGUAUGAUACCCACCUGUUUUUCUUUAUGAAAGUGAUUGAUCACUGGUGGGGAAGAUUCCCAUUUUUAUUAUUUAUUAAAAGAUUUUAUUUAUUUAUGAGAGACACAGCGAGAGAGAGAGGCAGAGAGAUAUAAGCAGAGGGAGAAGCAGGCUUCAUUCAGGGAGUCUGAAUGUGGGACUCGAUCCUGGGACUCCAGGAUCAUGCCCAGGGCUGAAGGCAGCGCUAAACCGCUGAGCCACCCAGGGAUCCCCUAGAUUCCUAUUUUUAGUAGUUUAUCCAUAUUAAAGAUCUGCGAGUGGCAGGAGAGUCCUCCUGUGAAAAAGUUUUUUGUCUAAACAUUAAUUUCUAAAAUGUGGUCUGAAGCUAGGAUAAUCAGCUGGCUGCUUUGCUCAGGCCUUCCCUAGCCUACCACUGGAAGUCUGGCUGCUGCAGGAAACCUCUCAGCGCCAGGAAAUCCAGGAUCUGAAAGAACCAUAUAAAAUUUGAGGAUUCCAGUUUAUCAGAUUUCAUUAGUGAACCACAGGACAAGUAUUCAAACUAAUCAUACUUGCCAUCAGAGUGCUUAGAGUCAAAAUCUCUAAGGUAACCAGAACCUAAACCACAUGAGACUUUUUAGAUUAAGAUCAAUACUCUGAUUUUAAAGACUAGUGUUUGGUGGCUUAGAUUUGACUGGAAUUACUUCAUUUUUUUGUUGGUUUGUUGCCCUCUGUAAGUUUUUGUGUGAUGAGUUCAAGAAGUAGUCAAGUUACAUAUUUCUAUAUUAGCAAUAUUAAAUUCUUGUAAGCAGGUUUUUAAGACUUGUGUAUUGAAGCUAGAUUAGGGGCAGCCCAGGUGGCUCAGUGGUUUAACGCCGCUUUCGGCACAGGGUGUGAUCCUGGAGACCCGAGAUCGAGUCCCCCAUUGGGCUCCCUUCAUGGAGCCUGCUUCUCCCUCUGCCUGUGUCUCUGCCUCUCUCUCUCUCUCUC